Molecule: ribosomal RNA, 508 nt
Filed under: Aureobasidium pullulans
Lineage: Eukaryota; Fungi; Ascomycota; Dothideomycetes; Dothideales; Saccotheciaceae
Description: eukaryotic LSU rRNA
Rfam family: 5.8S ribosomal RNA (bases 173-326)
Source: RNAcentral
GGGUGCUCAGCGCCCGACCUCCAACCCUUUGUUGUUAAAACUACCUUGUUGCUUUGGCGGGACCGCUCGGUCUCGAGCCGCUGGGGAUUCGUCCCAGGCGAGCGCCCGCCAGAGUUAAACCAAACUCUUGUUAUUUAACCGGUCGUCUGAGUUAAAAUUUUGAAUAAAUCAAAACUUUCAACAACGGAUCUCUUGGUUCUCGCAUCGAUGAAGAACGCAGCGAAAUGCGAUAAGUAAUGUGAAUUGCAGAAUUCAGUGAAUCAUCGAAUCUUUGAACGCACAUUGCGCCCCUUGGUAUUCCGAGGGGCAUGCCUGUUCGAGCGUCAUUACACCACUCAAGCUAUGCUUGGUAUUGGGUGCCGUCCUUAGUUGGGCGCGCCUUAAAGACCUCGGCGAGGCCUCACCGGCUUUAGGCGUAGUAGAAUUUAUUCGAACGUCUGUCAAAGGAGAGGACUUCUGCCGACUGAAACCUUUAUUUUUCUAGGUUGACCUCGGAUCAGGUAGGGAU